This 83-nucleotide microRNA precursor is filed under the name Ovis aries (sheep). RNAcentral's name for it is "miRNA (ENSOARG00000023046.1)". Lineage: Eukaryota; Metazoa; Chordata; Mammalia; Artiodactyla; Bovidae. The record is from RNAcentral.
AAUAUUAUGGUGGCCAAAAAGUUUGUUCAGGUUUUGCCAUAACAUAGUACAGAAAAACCUGAACAAACUUUUUGGCCAACCCA